This 831-nucleotide ribosomal RNA is filed under the name Salmonella enterica subsp. enterica serovar Mikawasima. RNAcentral's name for it is "partial 23S ribosomal RNA". It matches the Rfam family "Bacterial large subunit ribosomal RNA", at positions 354 to 1190 of the family's 2925-position model. The record is from RNAcentral. Lineage: Bacteria; Pseudomonadati; Pseudomonadota; Gammaproteobacteria; Enterobacterales; Enterobacteriaceae.
CGAUACAGGGUGACAGCCCCGUACACAAAAGCGCAUGUGCUGUGAGCUCGAUGAGUAGGGCGGGACACGUGGUAUCCUGUCUGAAUAUGGGGGGACCAUCCUCCAAGGCUAAAUACUCCUGACUGACCGAUAGUGAACCAGUACCGUGAGGGAAAGGCGAAAAGAACCCCGGCGAGGGGAGUGAAAAAGAACCUGAAACCGUGUACGUACAAGCAGUGGGAGCACCCUUUGGGGUGUGACUGCGUACCUUUUGUAUAAUGGGUCAGCGACUUAUAUUCUGUAGCAAGGUUAACCGUAUAGGGGAGCCGGAGGGAAACCGAGUCUUAACCGGGCGUUAAGUUGCAGGGUAUAGACCCGAAACCCGGUGAUCUAGCCAUGGGCAGGUUGAAGGUUGGGUAACACUAACUGGAGGACCGAACCGACUAAUGUUGAAAAAUUAGCGGAUGACCUGUGGCUGGGGGUGAAAGGCCAAUCAAACCGGGAGAUAGCUGGUUCUCCCCGAAAGCUAUUUAGGUAGCGCCUCGUGAAUUCAUCUCCGGGGGUAGAGCACUGUUUCGGCUAGGGGGCCAUCCCGGCUUACCAACCCGAUGCAAACUGCGAAUACCGGAGAAUGUUAUCACGGGAGACACACGGCGGGUGCUAACGUCCGUCGUGAAGAGGGAAACAACCCAGACCGCCAGCUAAGGUCCCAAAGUCAUGGUUAAGUGGGAAACGAUGUGGGAAGGCCCAGACAGCCAGGAUGUUGGCUUAGAAGCAGCCAUCAUUUAAAGAAAGCGUAAUAGCUCACUGGUCGAGUCGGCCUGCGCGGAAGAUGUAACGGGGCUAAACCAU